GCUUUCAACUCUCUGAACUUCGGUUCCUCAUCUGCCAGUUGGCAGACGCUCAGCAAAUCUUCCUAGACUCACGGGGCGAAUUGUACAGUUGGGUAAAUCGAGGCCCAGAGAUGGCAAAAGGACCGUCCAAGGUCGUACAGCCACCCGGAAUUACAAUUCUUUUCUGCCGGGUCACACGCUGUCAUCCACGUGUUACCUAAGAGAGCUUUCCAGCCUGUGCUAAGAAAACUGCCCCACAUCAUCUGCAGUAGGACGGGGGAGUUGGAGCCCUGGUCAGGCCACUCUGCUACUGACCACAGUUUUCUCAUCUCUAAAAAGGCGCAGUAACAAUAUAAUUACCGUAUGCAGUCCCCCAGGAUACAGGGUCAAAGGAGAGCACAACCAUCGCAGUUGGAAGCCCAUGGGGCAGACCCAGACUUCACCCUCAGGUCACCCUCACCUGGACUUUGGGGUGCCCCACACCCCGCCCCAGGCCCUGGCCUCUGGAAUAUUUGGAAACUUGAACUGGGCCAGAGGCUUAAGCUCACAUCUGUCUGGAGCCUCAACUUUCUCCUCUGUAAAAUGGGCUAACACUGAAAGAACCUUGCAGAAUCUCAGCAACGUCACAGAGGACAUUGUUAGCACAGCCAGCGGGCUCCUGCUGGGCUGAGUUUGUGGGUAAUCCAAGCCUCGGCAGGUACAGUUCCUCCCUCAGCAGGGCCCAGGACACAGUGAGCAUACAAUAGACAUUAGCUGCUGUGGUGUCUUGAUUUCAAGCCCAGUGCAGAUGCAUCUGACUUACGAAACUUCAGUGACACCUGCUCUGUGCCAGACACUGAAGAUGGAGCAGUGAACAGCACUGACCCAGCCUGUCCUCCUGUUGCCUGCAGGCCAGAAGCAAGGUCUCGCUGUGUUACCCUGGCUGGAGUGCAGUGGCUACUUACAGGCAUGAUCAUAGCAUACUGCAGCCUCGAACUCCUGGACUAGAGCAGUUCUCCUGCCU
RNAcentral lists this long non-coding RNA (982 nucleotides) under Homo sapiens (human). RNAcentral describes it as "non-protein coding LINC00963:58". The record is from RNAcentral. Lineage: Eukaryota; Metazoa; Chordata; Mammalia; Primates; Hominidae.